Non-coding RNA from Acanthosepion pharaonis, 113 nucleotides. The record is from the annotation of a GenBank genome assembly. Lineage: Eukaryota; Metazoa; Mollusca; Cephalopoda; Sepiida; Sepiidae.
UUACGACCAUAUCACAUUGAAACACUGGGUCUCGUACGAUCACCAAAGUUAAGCAACGUCGAGCCUUGUAAGUACCUAGAUCGGUGACUGCUUGGGAAUACCACGUACUGUAG